GACGAACGCUGGCGGCGUGCUUAACACAUGCAAGUCGAACGGAAGGGCCCUGCUUUUGUGGGGUGCUCGAGUGGCGAACGGGUGAGUAACACGUGAGUAACCUGCCCUUGACUUUGGGAUAACUUCAGGAAACUGGGGCUAAUACCGGAUAGGAGCUCCUGCUGCAUGGUGGGGGUUGGAAAGUUUCGGCGGUUGGGGAUGGACUCGCGGCUUAUCAGCUUGUUGGUGGGGUAGUGGCUUACCAAGGCUUUGACGGGUAGCCGGCCUGAGCGGGUGACCGGCCACAUUGGGACUGAGAUACGGCCCAGACUCCUACGGGAGGCAGCAGUGGGGAAUAUUGCACAAUGGGCGGAAGCCUGAUGCAGCAACGCCGCGUGCGGGAUGACGGCCUUCGGGUUGUAAACCGCUUUCGCCUGUGACGAAGCGUGAGUGACGGUAAUGGGUAAAGAAGCACCGGCUAACUACGUG
RNAcentral lists this ribosomal RNA (468 nucleotides) under uncultured bacterium. RNAcentral's name for it is "partial 16S ribosomal RNA". It matches the Rfam family "Bacterial small subunit ribosomal RNA", at positions 28 to 507 of the family's 1533-position model. The record is from RNAcentral.